GAUGAACGCUGACAGAAUGCUUAACACAUGCAAGUCAACUUGAACUUCGGUUUGGGUGGCGGACGGGUGAGUAACGCGUAAAGAACUUGCCUCACAGAUAGGGACAACAUUUGGAAACGAAUGCUAAUACCUGAUAUUAUGAUUAUAUGGCAUCGUAUAAUUAUGAAAGCUAUAUGCGCUGUGAGAGAGCUUUGCGUCCCAUUAGCUAGUUGGAUGGGUAACGGCUCACCAAGGCGAUGAUGGGUAGCCGGCCUGAGAGGGUGAUCGGCCACAAGGGGACUGAGACACGGCCCUUACUCCUACGGGAGGCAGCAGUGGGGAAUAUUGGACAAUGGACCAAGAGUCUGAUCCAGCAAUUCUGUGUGCACGAUGAAGUUUUUCGGAAUGUAAAGUGCUUUCAGUUGGGAAGAAAAAAAUGACGGUACCAACAGAAGAAGUGACGGCUAAAUACGUG
RNAcentral lists this ribosomal RNA (454 nucleotides) under uncultured bacterium. Its description in RNAcentral is "partial 16S ribosomal RNA". It matches the Rfam family "Bacterial small subunit ribosomal RNA", at positions 28 to 507 of the family's 1533-position model. The record is from RNAcentral.